RNAcentral lists this ribosomal RNA (492 nucleotides) under uncultured bacterium. Its description in RNAcentral is "partial 16S ribosomal RNA". It matches the Rfam family "Bacterial small subunit ribosomal RNA", at positions 29 to 507 of the family's 1533-position model. The record is from RNAcentral.
AGUGAACGCUGGCGGUAGGCCUAGCACAUGCAAGUCGAACGGCAGCACAGUAAGAGCUUGCUCUUACGGGUGGCGAGUGGCGGACGGGUGAGGAAUACAUUGGAAUCUACUUUUUCGUGGGGGAUAACGUAGGGAAACUUACGCUAAUACCGCAUACGACCUACGGGUGAAAGCAGGGGAUCUUCGGACCUUGCGCGAUUGAAUGAGCCGAUGUCGGAUUAGCUAGUUGGCGGGGUAAAGGCCCACCAAGGCGACGAUCCGUAGCUGGUCUGAGAGGAUGAUCAGCCACACUGGAACUGAGACACGGUCCAGACUCCUACGGGAGGCAGCAGUGGGGAAUAUUGGACAAUGGGCGCAAGCCUGAUCCAGCCAUACCGCGUGGGUGAAGAAGGCCUUCGGGUUGUAAAGCCCUUUUGUUGGGAAAGAAAAGCAGCAGGUUAAUACCCCGCUGUUCUGACGGUACCCAAAGAAUAAGCACCGGCUAACUUCGUG